This 2902-nucleotide ribosomal RNA is filed under the name Escherichia coli NCCP 15656. Its description in RNAcentral is "bacterial LSU rRNA". It matches the Rfam family "Bacterial large subunit ribosomal RNA". RNAcentral also lists the same sequence under 1 other name. Lineage: Bacteria; Pseudomonadati; Pseudomonadota; Gammaproteobacteria; Enterobacterales; Enterobacteriaceae. The record is from RNAcentral.
UUAAGCGACUAAGCGUACACGGUGGAUGCCCUGGCAGUCAGAGGCGAUGAAGGACGUGCUAAUCUGCGAUAAGCGUCGGUAAGGUGAUAUGAACCGUUAUAACCGGCGAUUUCCGAAUGGGGAAACCCAGUGUGUUUCGACACACUAUCAUUAACUGAAUCCAUAGGUUAAUGAGGCGAACCGGGGGAACUGAAACAUCUAAGUACCCCGAGGAAAAGAAAUCAACCGAGAUUCCCCCAGUAGCGGCGAGCGAACGGGGAGCAGCCCAGAGCCUGAAUCAGUGUGUGUGUUAGUGGAAGCGUCUGGAAAGGCGUGCGAUACAGGGUGACAGCCCCGUACACAAAAAUGCACAUAUUGUGAGCUCGAUGAGUAGGGCGGGACACGUGGUAUCCUGUCUGAAUAUGGGGGGACCAUCCUCCAAGGCUAAAUACUCCUGACUGACCGAUAGUGAACCAGUACCGUGAGGGAAAGGCGAAAAGAACCCCGGCGAGGGGAGUGAAAAAGAACCUGAAACCGUGUACGUACAAGCAGUGGGAGCACGCUUAGGCGUGUGACUGCGUACCUUUUGUAUAAUGGGUCAGCGACUUAUAUUCUGUAGCAAGGUUAACCGAAUAGGGGAGCCGAAGGGAAACCGAGUCUUAACUGGGCGUUAAGUUGCAGGGUAUAGACCCGAAACCCGGUGAUCUAGCCAUGGGCAGGUUGAAGGUUGGGUAACACUAACUGGAGGACCGAACCGACUAAUGUUGAAAAAUUAGCGGAUGACUUGUGGCUGGGGGUGAAAGGCCAAUCAAACCGGGAGAUAGCUGGUUCUCCCCGAAAGCUAUUUAGGUAGCGCCUCGUGAAUUCAUCUCCGGGGGUAGAGCACUGUUUCGGCAAGGGGGUCAUCCCGACUUACCAACCCGAUGCAAACUGCGAAUACCGGAGAAUGUUAUCACGGGAGACACACGGCGGGUGCUAACGUCCGUCGUGAAGAGGGAAACAACCCAGACCGCCAGCUAAGGUCCCAAAGUCAUGGUUAAGUGGGAAACGAUGUGGGAAGGCCCAGACAGCCAGGAUGUUGGCUUAGAAGCAGCCAUCAUUUAAAGAAAGCGUAAUAGCUCACUGGUCGAGUCGGCCUGCGCGGAAGAUGUAACGGGGCUAAACCAUGCACCGAAGCUGCGGCAGCGACGCUUAUGCGUUGUUGGGUAGGGGAGCGUUCUGUAAGCCUGUGAAGGUGUGCUGUGAGGCAUGCUGGAGGUAUCAGAAGUGCGAAUGCUGACAUAAGUAACGAUAAAGCGGGUGAAAAGCCCGCUCGCCGGAAGACCAAGGGUUCCUGUCCAACGUUAAUCGGGGCAGGGUGAGUCGACCCCUAAGGCGAGGCCGAAAGGCGUAGUCGAUGGGAAACAGGUUAAUAUUCCUGUACUUGGUGUUACUGCGAAGGGGGGACGGAGAAGGCUAUGUUGGCCGGGCGACGGUUGUCCCGGUUUAAGCGUGUAGGCUGGUUUUCCAGGCAAAUCCGGAAAAUCAAGGCUGAGGCGUGAUGACGAGGCACUACGGUGCUGAAGCAACAAAUGCCCUGCUUCCAGGAAAAGCCUCUAAGCAUCAGGUAACAUCAAAUCGUACCCCAAACCGACACAGGUGGUCAGGUAGAGAAUACCAAGGCGCUUGAGAGAACUCGGGUGAAGGAACUAGGCAAAAUGGUGCCGUAACUUCGGGAGAAGGCACGCUGAUAUGUAGGUGAAGUCCCUCGCGGAUGGAGCUGAAAUCAGUCGAAGAUACCAGCUGGCUGCAACUGUUUAUUAAAAACACAGCACUGUGCAAACACGAAAGUGGACGUAUACGGUGUGACGCCUGCCCGGUGCCGGAAGGUUAAUUGAUGGGGUCAGCGCAAGCGAAGCUCUUGAUCGAAGCCCCGGUAAACGGCGGCCGUAACUAUAACGGUCCUAAGGUAGCGAAAUUCCUUGUCGGGUAAGUUCCGACCUGCACGAAUGGCGUAAUGAUGGCCAGGCUGUCUCCACCCGAGACUCAGUGAAAUUGAACUCGCUGUGAAGAUGCAGUGUACCCGCGGCAAGACGGAAAGACCCCGUGAACCUUUACUAUAGCUUGACACUGAACAUUGAGCCUUGAUGUGUAGGAUAGGUGGGAGGCUUUGAAGUGUGGACGCCAGUCUGCAUGGAGCCGACCUUGAAAUACCACCCUUUAAUGUUUGAUGUUCUAACGUUGACCCGUGAUCCGGGUUGCGGACAGUGUCUGGUGGGUAGUUUGACUGGGGCGGUCUCCUCCUAAAGAGUAACGGAGGAGCACGAAGGUUGGCUAAUCCUGGUCGGACAUCAGGAGGUUAGUGCAAUGGCAUAAGCCAGCUUGACUGCGAGCGUGACGGCGCGAGCAGGUGCGAAAGCAGGUCAUAGUGAUCCGGUGGUUCUGAAUGGAAGGGCCAUCGCUCAACGGAUAAAAGGUACUCCGGGGAUAACAGGCUGAUACCGCCCAAGAGUUCAUAUCGACGGCGGUGUUUGGCACCUCGAUGUCGGCUCAUCACAUCCUGGGGCUGAAGUAGGUCCCAAGGGUAUGGCUGUUCGCCAUUUAAAGUGGUACGCGAGCUGGGUUUAGAACGUCGUGAGACAGUUCGGUCCCUAUCUGCCGUGGGCGCUGGAGAAUUGAGGGGGGCUGCUCCUAGUACGAGAGGACCGGAGUGGACGCAUCACUGGUGUUCGGGUUGUCAUGCCAAUGGCACUGCCCGGUAGCUAAAUGCGGAAGAGAUAAGUGCUGAAAGCAUCUAAGCACGAAACUUGCCCCGAGAUGAGUUCUCCCUGACUCCUUGAGAGUCCUGAAGGAACGUUGAAGACGACGACGUUGAUAGGCCGGGUGUGUAAGCGCAGCGAUGCGUUGAGCUAACCGGUACUAAUGAACCGUGAGGCUUAACCUU